This 2443-nucleotide long non-coding RNA is filed under the name Nicotiana benthamiana. RNAcentral's name for it is "long non-coding RNA (NBEN_LNC041886)". Lineage: Eukaryota; Viridiplantae; Streptophyta; Magnoliopsida; Solanales; Solanaceae. The record is from RNAcentral.
UUCUUCUUACUGGUUUCCAGUUUCUCGUUGCUUUGAACACGGACAAUCGAUAACAGUUUUUUGUAUAUAAUAAUAUUCUAAGUCAACAAAUUCUUUAAAUAGAGAUAGUGAAUUUCUUAAAACAAAAGCGUAUAUGGAACAUAGGGUACAAUUCCAGCCAUAAAGUAUGUAGGCUAUCUUGGGGUUUAUAAGCAAAUAAUCCAAGAUGUAAUGCAUAUGUGGAGUACACGCCCCACUUUGCCAAAUGCUAGCUUAUACCUUGGUUGAUAGAGUUAUCCGAUACGUGUGCUGUGCUGCUGGGAGUAGUAGAUACUUGGUUGAAUAGUCAAGGUACGGGCAAGCUUGCGCGAACACCACAAUCAUAAAAAGAAAGACUAGACCUUAGGCCCCUGAGGUUGCCUCUGGCUGUUUAGAGGUUGUCUCACCCCGAAGCGAGUCCAAAUGUUCUAUUUUCAAACAUUGCCUACAACCUAUAGAACUUGAUAAAGGCUUAGCUACAAGAAAUAUGCAUAAGAAGCAAAAGGUCCAUAUAGCAAUACCUAGAUGGGGUGAACCUGUAGAUUGCCAUAUUAACCUUUUGAAUUUUGUCAGUUCUUUCGCUUUAGCCUAGUUUUUUUUGUAUCAAAACUGACUCUUUCCCUCUCUCGUGUACUUCUUGCAUCUUUUUGAUGCCUUUUUCUAUUUAACUCAUUAUUUCAUCCAACAAAAAACUAGUUGGAACUUGGGGUUGAACCUUACAUGUUUUGUUACAGUUACAUUAGCUUCGGUGUAUGCCAAGAAUGUUUUUACUCUGUUGGACAAGGGCUGAUCUAUGUUGUGUAGUUGGGGUGGUACACCACCCCGUUGCUCCGGUAGAAUUUCAUGUAUCCACAGGUAUUUUACUAGUAUUUCACGUAAAAAGAUAGAUAAAUAAAUAAUGGCACCCCAAGUAAUAAAAUGGCUAUAGGUGCCAUGGUCAAGGUAUCCCAUGCCCAAUACCCAAGUUACCCUCGUAUUACUCAUAUUGUAAAACCGAUUUUACUUUACUGUGUUACCUCUUUCCACUUUAACUUUCUUUCUUCUGUUUUUCUUAAUUUCUUUUAUCUUCAUUUUUGAAUAUUUUCUCUAUGUACAAUUUCAUUUUUAUCAGUUAUUUAGAUCAAAAAAGUAUAUGUCCUUACGUUCUUUUGUUCUGGAUCUCAAUUCGUUUUUAAAAAAAAUGCUUUUAAUCAUUUUUCUUUUUUAUUUAUUUAGUAUUAUUUUUUGAAAUGAUCAAAUAUAUUCACUUUGGUUAUCAUGUGUAUCGAACCGAACUAAAUUAAUUUAAAAUAGAGCGAACCGACUACAUGCAUGUAUACCCAAAUUCAACCUCCUUGACUAUUGGUUACUGUACAUUAAAUGCAGUGGCACCCGCAACUAUCAACUCCUGGAUCCGCCUCUGCUGUCGGAGACUUGUGCGUCAGUGUAGAUAAAUGUGAUGUUUAAAGAAUAUCUAGUUUUAGAGAAACUCUAAGUUGACUUAAAUGUCAAAUUAUAUAGUAUUGGAAUAAAAUGAGCCUGAAUAGAGCAGAAAUAUAACCGGUUCAAAUUCAAACUAGUUUGGUCUUAAAGCUAAGUUGAUUGAGCAAGUUAAUUAUGGCAAUAUUGGUUUUUUUAUGGAAAUUAAGUUGGGUGGGGUAAUUCUUGUCAAGAAAUCUGGCUAAUUCUGAAGCGUAAACCAGGAUUUCUGAGAAGUAGCUCAUUAUAGAAAGAAGUGUAUAGACACCCUGGAGGAUCUAAUGGGUUGUGUAAGCAACAAUGUUGAUGGAAACGUGAGAAGCAGGAGGAAAAGGAAGAGGUCGAAAAUGCACAAAAAUGUUGCAGAAGGAAAUAUUUAGUGUACAUGGCAUCCACCAGGAAAUCUUUUGCUCCUGACUUGCUUUUCAAUAUCAAGUAAAUGGUAAUCUAUAAAGGUAGGAGUCCGCUGCGUCACAAUGAGAGCAUAUUUUCGAGGGCACCAUUUUUUUUGAGAGCACAAGAGUUUUGAUUCUUUCUUUGGACUGUUGUUUCCUCAACUAAAUCCAUUUCUUUUGUUGUCCUGUGCUAGGAUCUUUAUGAGUAAGUUUUGCAGUAUUAUUGCAUCUUUUGAACAGGAAAGUUACUAGGAGGAUAAACCUAAUACUAGUAUUAUGAGCAUAGUUUUCAAUCCUUUCGGUCGAGAAUGAAACUUGAAAUUUUCUUGGGAAGAGGAGACUGAUUAUUGGGAGGACAAGUUAUCUUUCAACUUGGAGCAGCAAUAAAGGUGACUUUUAAUAUCGACUAUGACCUUUCUUACAUCACAUUUGAAGAAUCCAAUAUUUGUAAUAUGUGAACCGAGUUUUCUUUUAAUCAGAACAUUUUCAUCAGUUAUAUGCUUGAUUGAUUUUAUAUCAUACGGAAUUUUUAAGAAUUAUAUAACUUUUGCUGGAGGAGUUUUGAUUAACGG